AAACUAACAAGGAUUCCCCUAGUAACGGCGAGUGAAGCGGGAAGAGCUCAAGCUUAAAAUCUCUGUGCAAGUUUUGCAUGGCGAAUUGUAGUCUAUGGAUGCGCUAUCAGUGCAGCCGCGCGGGCCAAGUUCCUUGGAAGAGGACAGCAUGGAGGGUGAUACUCCCGUUCCUGCCUGUGCGUGUUGUGCGUACGAUGCGUUUUCUUUGAGUCGCGUUGUUUGGGAAUGCAGCGCAAAGUAGGUGGUAAAUUCCAUCUAAAGCUAAAUAUUGGUGCGAGACCGAUAGCGAACAAGUACCGUGAGGGAAAGAUGAAAAGAACUUUGAAAAGAGAGUUAAAGAGUACCUGAAACUGCUGAAAGGGAACCGGGUCGUUGCCAGUGUCUAUAAUCUGCGGCAUAUUUCAUUGUCGGAUGCGGCCGUGUGGCGCGUUUGGUAGUGGGUUCGUCCUGCACCGCGUGUUGCUGUGGUUGCGUUUGGUGAUGCCCUGUGCUGUGGUGGGACGUCAGAGUCAGUUCGUAUGCUGCGGGAAAUGGCUGCUGGGGAGGUAGGUCGGGGGUUCGCCCUCGGCUGUUAUAUCCUGGUGGACUAGUCGUCGUGGUUGGGACUGAGGUGCCUACAACGUGCUUUUGAGUGCAGAGGUUUCUUCGUUUGCGCGUCGGUUGGAUAGCUUGCUAUGCAGUUGGCGUUGUGUGCGGAUGGAUGUCUUUGCUAACUUGUUGCCGUUCGGGACUUUGACGAAAUGGCGCGAUCCGAC
RNAcentral lists this ribosomal RNA (755 nucleotides) under Pythium sp. UZ287. RNAcentral describes it as "LSU rRNA". It matches the Rfam family "Eukaryotic large subunit ribosomal RNA", at positions 62 to 648 of the family's 3401-position model. Lineage: Eukaryota; Oomycota; Peronosporomycetes; Pythiales; Pythiaceae. The record is from RNAcentral.